Molecule: ribosomal RNA, 253 nt
Filed under: uncultured bacterium
Lineage: Bacteria
Description: partial 16S ribosomal RNA
Rfam family: Bacterial small subunit ribosomal RNA
Source: RNAcentral
UACGAAGGGGGCUAGCGUUGUUCGGAAUUACUGGGCGUAAAGGGCGCGUAGGCUGUGCUGUAAGUCAGGCGUGAAAUCCCCGGGCUCAACCUGGGAAUUGCGCUUGAUACUGCGGCGCUUGAAGACGGGAGAGGAUGGCGGAAUUCCCAGUGUAGAGGUGAAAUUCGUAGAUAUUGGGAAGAACACCGGUGGCGAAGGCGGCUUCCUGGACGUCCACUGACGCUGAGACGCGAAAGCGUGGGGAGCAAACAGG